RNAcentral lists this non-coding RNA (30 nucleotides) under Cricetulus griseus (Chinese hamster). The record is from RNAcentral. Lineage: Eukaryota; Metazoa; Chordata; Mammalia; Rodentia; Cricetidae.
AUUAGAUCUUUGGCUGCAGGCAGCAAAAAC